AUUGAACGCUGGCGGCAGGCUUAACACAUGCAAGUCGAGCGGUAACACUUCGGGUGACGAGCGGCGGACGGGUGAGUAAUACAUAGGAAUCUGCCUAGUAGGGGGGGAUAACGUAGGGAAACUUACGCUAAUACCGCAUACAUCCUACGGGGGAAAGCAGGGGAUCUUCGGACCUUGCGCUAUUAGAUGAGCCUAUGUCGGAUUAGCUAGUUGGUGAGGUAAAGGCUCACCAAGGCGACGAUCCGUAGCUGGUCUGAGAGGAUGAUCAGCCACACUGGGACUGAGACACGGCCCAGACUCCUACGGGAGGCAGCAGUGGGGAAUAUUGGACAAUGGGCGCAAGCCUGAUCUAGCCAUGCCGCGUGUGUGAAGAAGGCCUUAGGGUUGUAAAGCACUUUCAUUGGGGAGAAAGGCUGUUUGGUUAAUACCCAAGCAGGUUGAUGUUACCCAAAGAAGAAGGACCGGCUAACUCCGUGCCAGCAGCCGCGGUAAAGUCUAG
RNAcentral lists this ribosomal RNA (499 nucleotides) under uncultured bacterium. RNAcentral's name for it is "bacterial SSU rRNA". It matches the Rfam family "Bacterial small subunit ribosomal RNA", at positions 30 to 530 of the family's 1533-position model. The record is from RNAcentral.